UGGGGAAUAUUGGACAAUGGGCGAAAGCCUGAUCCAGCCAUGCCGCGUGUGUGAAGAAGGUCUUUGGAUUGUAAAUCACUUUAAGUUGGGAGGAAGGGCAGUAAGCGAAUACCUUGCUGUUUUGACGUUACCGACAGAAUAAGCACCGGCUAACUCUGUGCCAGCAGCCGCGGUAAUACUGGGGGUGCAAGCGUUAAUCGGAAUUACUGGGCGUAAAGCGCGCGUAGGUGGUUCGUUAAGUUGAAUGUGAAAGCCCCGGGCUCAACCUGGGAACUACAUCCAAAACUGGCGGGCUAGAGUAGGGCAGAGGGUGGUGGAAUGUCCUGUGUAGCGGUGAAAUGCGUAGAUAUAGGAAGGAACACCAGUGGCGAAGGCGACCACCUGGGCUCAUACUGACACUGAGGUGCGAAAGCGUGGGGAGCAAACAGG
This 429-nucleotide ribosomal RNA is filed under the name Pseudomonadota bacterium. RNAcentral describes it as "Proteobacteria bacterium partial 16S ribosomal RNA". It matches the Rfam family "Bacterial small subunit ribosomal RNA", at positions 355 to 776 of the family's 1533-position model. The record is from RNAcentral. Lineage: Bacteria; Pseudomonadati; Pseudomonadota.